UUGACAGCCUUGGAAAGUAAGGUCCCCUAGCCAGAGAACAGUUACAGCACAAUUGGUAGCACUGCAAGCGCGAAUGCACACACACACGCGCGCGCGCACACACACACCCAACCCCACCUCAGCUCUGACCUGGGGGAGAUCACAUCUAUGGACAGCAGGGUAGUUCAGUCUCCAGGGCCCAUUCAGAACCUUAGCUGCA
RNAcentral lists this small RNA (199 nucleotides) under Gopherus agassizii (Agassiz's desert tortoise). RNAcentral's name for it is "TUC338 (ENSGAGG00000006345.1)". The record is from RNAcentral. Lineage: Eukaryota; Metazoa; Chordata; Testudines; Testudinidae.